This is a non-coding RNA of Gossypium raimondii (Peruvian cotton), 144 nucleotides long. NCBI's taxonomy places the organism in Eukaryota, Viridiplantae, Streptophyta, Magnoliopsida, Malvales, Malvaceae. The record is from Rfam.
UGUUAAAAAUUUAAUCAAUUUCAACUAUUAAAAACUAACAUGACUGAUAGAAUAAUCAAAUAGUGACAUAUGGCAUGUCACGUGUACCUUAUACUGACGUACAAGGACCUUUUUUAACAGUAGAAAUGAAAGAAAUUUUUAACA